CUUACACAUGCAAGUCGAACGGCAGCACGGGAGCAAUCCUGGUGGCGAGUGGCGAACGGGUGAGUAAUACAUCGGAACGUGUCCUGUAGUGGGGGAUAGCCCGGCGAAAGCCGGAUUAAUCCCGCAUACGCUCUACGGACGAAAGGGCGGCAUCCUUACUCACCUCACCCUACCCGGGCACCCGCUCGCAGAUCCGCUACCCCGCCGGGUACCUAGCUCACCCACGCCUCACAUCCUAUAGCUGCCACUGACCAUGACCGAACUCCCCCCACUUGCCCACCGAGACAGCCGUAUCCACCUA
This 301-nucleotide ribosomal RNA is filed under the name uncultured bacterium. Its description in RNAcentral is "bacterial SSU rRNA". The record is from RNAcentral.